UACGAAGGGGGCUAGCGUUGCUCGGAAUCACUGGGCGUAAAGCGCACGUAGGCGGACUCUUAAGUCGGGGGUGAAAGCCCAGGGCUCAACCCUGGAAUUGCCUUCGAUACUGGGAGUCUUGAGUGUGGCAGAGGUUGGUGGAACUGCGAGUGUAGAGGUGAAAUUCGUAGAUAUUCGCAAGAACACCAGUGGCGAAGGCGGCCAACUGGGCCACUACUGACGCUGAGGUGCGAAAGCGUGGGGAGCAAACAGG
RNAcentral lists this ribosomal RNA (253 nucleotides) under uncultured bacterium. RNAcentral describes it as "partial 16S ribosomal RNA". It matches the Rfam family "Bacterial small subunit ribosomal RNA", at positions 524 to 776 of the family's 1533-position model. The record is from RNAcentral.